CAGUCGCCGCGGGAAUACGGAGGGUGCAAGCGUUAAUCGGAAUUACUGGGCGUAAAGCGCACGCAGGCGGUCUGACAAGUCAGAUGUGAAAUCCCCGGGCUUAACCUGGGAACUGCAUUUGUGACUGCAAGGCUAGAGUACGGCAGAGGGGGAUGGAAUUCCGCGUGUAGCAGUGAAAUGCGUAGAUAUGCGGAGGAACACCGAUGGCGAAUGCAAUCCCCUGGGCCUGUACUGACGCUCAUGCACGAAAGCGUGGGGAGCAAACAGGAUUAGAGACCCCCGUAGUCCCUGUCUCUUAUAC
RNAcentral lists this ribosomal RNA (301 nucleotides) under uncultured bacterium. RNAcentral's name for it is "partial 16S ribosomal RNA". It matches the Rfam family "Bacterial small subunit ribosomal RNA", at positions 509 to 807 of the family's 1533-position model. The record is from RNAcentral.